RNAcentral lists this ribosomal RNA (460 nucleotides) under uncultured bacterium. RNAcentral's name for it is "partial 16S ribosomal RNA". It matches the Rfam family "Bacterial small subunit ribosomal RNA", at positions 338 to 795 of the family's 1533-position model. The record is from RNAcentral.
CCUACGGGAGGCUGCAGUGAGGAAUAUUGGUCAAUGGGCUUACGCCUGAACCAGCCAAGUCGCGUGAGGGAAGACUGCCCUAUGGGUUGUAAACCUCUUUUGUCAGGGAGCAACGCCGGCUACGUGUAGCCGGACUGAGAGUACCUGAAGAAAAAGCAUCGGCUAACUCCGUGCCAGCAGCCGCGGUAAUACGGAGGAUGCGAGCGUUAUCCGGAUUUAUUGGGUUUAAAGGAUGCGUAGGCGGAAUGCCAAGUCAGCGGGAAAAUCGCGGGGCUCAACCGCGAUCCGCCGUUGAUACUGGCGUUCUUGAGUGGGCUAGAAGUAUGCGGAAUGCGUGGUGUAGCGGUGAAAUGCAUAGAGAUCACGCAGAUCUCCGAUUGCGAAGGCAGCAUACCGGCGCCCAACUGACGCUGAAGCACGAAAGCGUGGGUAUCGAACAGGAUUAGAUACCCGAGUAGUC